Molecule: ribosomal RNA, 506 nt
Filed under: uncultured bacterium
Lineage: Bacteria
Description: bacterial SSU rRNA
Rfam family: Bacterial small subunit ribosomal RNA
Source: RNAcentral
AACAAACGCUGGCGGCGUGCCUAACACAUGCAAGUCGUACGAGAAAGUCCGCUUCGGUGGAUAAGUAAAGUGGCGCACGGGUGAGUAACGCGUGGAUAAUCUACCCUUAAGUCGGGAAUAACUUAUCGAAAGGUGAAUUAAUACCUGAUAACACUGCAUAACUACUGUUGUGUAGUCAAAGAAGGCCUCUGCUUGCAAGCUUUCGCUGAAGGAUGAGUCCGCGUACCAUUAGCUAGUUGGUAGGGUAAUGGCCUACCAAGGUUAUGAUGGUUAGCUGGUCUGAGAGGAUGAUCAGCCACACUGGAACUGAAACACGGUCCAGACUCCUACGGGAGGCAGCAGUGAGGAAUAUUGGACAAUGGGCGCAAGCCUGAUCCAGCCAUGCCGCGUGAGUGAAGAAGGCCCUCGGGUUGUAAAGCUCUUUUGUCCGGAAAGAAAAGCGCCGGGUUAAUACCCUGGUGUCCUGACGGUACCGGAAGAAUAAGCACCGGCUAACUUCGUGCCAG